GCACUGGUUGGUGUAAGGGUACACGCGCUGAUGAGAUCACACAUGAAGAUGUCAAGCGGCGAGUCGGGGUUCGAUUCCCUGCUGGUGCA
This is a non-coding RNA of Mycena haematopus, 89 nucleotides long. The record is from the annotation of a GenBank genome assembly. NCBI's taxonomy places the organism in Eukaryota, Fungi, Basidiomycota, Agaricomycetes, Agaricales, Mycenaceae.